UGCUCUUUGUACUACUUCUAUAAAGAGUCGAGCCUGCCCAGUGAAGUUUUUAACGGCCGCGGUACUCUGACCGUGCAAAGGUAGCAUAAUCAUUUGCCUUAUAAUUGAAGGCUAGUAUGAAUGGUUUGACGAAAGCAGACCUGUCUCUCUCCUAUUAUCUAGAAAUUGACCUUUAGGUGAAGAGGCCUAAAUGUUAUUGAAGGACAAGAAGACCCUGUCGAGCUUAAAAGAACAGGCGGAAGUUUAUAUAAGUAUAAAUAAAUAAUCCGUCCAGCUUUUUAGUUGGGGCGACUGAGGAACAGAAAAAGCUUCUUCUAUAAGAGAAACUAGACAAGUUAAGAUCCAGCUCUAGUCUGAUUUAAGAAAUUAGUUACCGCAGGGAUAACAGCAUAAUCUCUCUUGAGAGACCUAAUCGAAAGAGGGGGUUGUGACCUCGAUGUUGGACUAGAAUAUCCUAAAGAUGCAGAAGUCUUUAAAGGUUGGUCUGUUCGACCAUUAAAAUUCU
RNAcentral lists this ribosomal RNA (505 nucleotides) under Terebralia semistriata. RNAcentral describes it as "partial 16S ribosomal RNA". It matches the Rfam family "Bacterial large subunit ribosomal RNA", at positions 1817 to 2597 of the family's 2925-position model. The record is from RNAcentral. Lineage: Eukaryota; Metazoa; Mollusca; Gastropoda; Potamididae.